This 253-nucleotide ribosomal RNA is filed under the name uncultured bacterium. RNAcentral's name for it is "partial 16S ribosomal RNA". It matches the Rfam family "Bacterial small subunit ribosomal RNA", at positions 524 to 776 of the family's 1533-position model. The record is from RNAcentral.
CACGUAGGGCGCAAGCGUUGUCCGGAAUUAUUGGGCGUAAAGAGCUCGUAGGCGGACUGUCACGUCUGCUGUGAAAAGCUAGGGCUUAACCCUGGCCUUGCAGUGGAUACGGGCAGACUAGAGGUAGGUAGGGGAGAAUGGAAUUCCCGGUGUAGCGGUGAAAUGCGCAGAUAUCAGGAGGAACACCAGUGGCGAAGGCGGUGCUCUGGGCCGGAACUGACGCUGAGGAGCGAAAGCGUGGGGAGCAAACAGG